UUGCGGUUAAAUGUCAGGUUUGCUUUAUAACGUCGCGUGGUACAGGACGAUCGAAAGUACAGCUAUAUAGUGGCAUAAAAUACUAAGGUGGCAUGGCUAGUUGUUGCUUAGCUUGCAUGUAAUAGUACACAGAAUGCAAGAAUCAAAGAGGCAUAUAUAUAUAUAUACAUUACACCAUAGCAGAAACUUUACUUCAAUAUACGUCUCAAAAUGGAACGUCCGCUUGGGCCCGCUAAGAAUUCCGGACGACCUUGACGAUGAGAUAGAAUCUCACCUUUGCAGUCACGACACAGAAAAUCCCUCUAUAUAGAUUUAUUCAAAUUUAAAUUCACAAUUUUUAAAGAUCCAACUAAUAAUGUGUCUCAAUCUCAAAUGAUUAUAAUAGACAAUUAUUGAUAAGAAAAAUUAACAUCUGGUUUAUAAUAAAAAUUAAAUAUAUGUAUUCAUUGUAUUUUCUAGUUAAUAGAGAAUAAACGAUUGGUUGCAAUUACCA
This is a long non-coding RNA of Leptopilina boulardi, 493 nucleotides long. RefSeq lists it as uncharacterized. The record is from RefSeq and is a predicted model, not a curated record. NCBI's taxonomy places the organism in Eukaryota, Metazoa, Arthropoda, Insecta, Hymenoptera, Figitidae. The transcript has 2 exons.